RNAcentral lists this long non-coding RNA (1737 nucleotides) under Triticum aestivum (bread wheat). RNAcentral describes it as "long non-coding RNA (TAES_LNC020833)". Lineage: Eukaryota; Viridiplantae; Streptophyta; Magnoliopsida; Poales; Poaceae. The record is from RNAcentral.
AAGAAUUUAUUAUUUAGUUUUUUUGGAACGAAGGCUCCAGAAGAGUCCGACUUUGAAUUAACAAAGCCAUCAACCGGCCAGGACUUACAACGACCCAAACAACAAGAAAGAAAACAAAGAAAACUGAAAACGGCAGAUACAAGGUGCUUCCAAACAGCUUACACACACCACAACAGAGAGCACAAGGAUAUUCUACCGGAAGUCUAGCUAAAUGUUGAUGGAGCUCUUCGACGCGAAUUAAGCACCAAAACAGUGACAGCAAGCGAGCUUCAAGAGGAAAUCGCGCUCAGCGAAGAUGAACAUGCCCUCAUCAAACCCAAAGGAGACCACCAUCAUCGAACCUUCCUUCUUCAAUUCCGAAGGGGACCCCUGCCCCUCGCCCUGGAUCGAAGGGCGCCGGACCGUCGCAAAUUGAAGCAGCUCACCCUAGAGCAAGGAGCGGUAGAUUCAGUAUCGCCUUGGGAGAUACUCAGUGUGACCAACCCACUGUGCAAGAUCACCAGGAGAAGGGCCAAACCGCAGCUCAAUGGUCACCACACGAAGAGAAGAAGCUGUACAAGGACGAGGGCAACGAAGAAACAAUCACAGAGUUGAUAAACACCUGAAGCUGAGACAUGACUUUUGCUUAGAUUAGAAUCCAUGUCUGAAUCGCCUAUGCCGUAUUGCUGCAUGCAGGGGAGAGGAACCCUAUCCCCUCCCCCCACCAUGGCAACACACAAACGGCCGGCCUACGGACACCCCAGAGAGCUAAUCUUGUGAAAAAUCCCAGUGUUAUCUCCAACUGAGAUGUCGCUGCGCGCCGGAGAACCACAUCUAAACGCCAAUGCACACUCCCAACUCGCCCAAGACGACACCUUCAGGAAGAUGACGACGCAAGCCGCGCCGCUGCCGCCUAGACCAGAACUGGCAAAGGUUUUCACCCGGGUAUGAGAGGGGAGGGAGAGGGGAUCGAACCUCGACGGCGCCUCCGAGAAGGGGAACGAUGCCAGCCGGCGUCACAGCCGUCGUGGCCGGAAAAGCCGGUCAAAGAUUUCUCCCGGUCCGAGCUCUCAACUCCGGCAACCCCACUUUCAACGGAUCCGGCGACCGACGCCCGCCACGACCCAAAUCCAGCGAGGAACAGGCAAGGGAAGGGGGAGGAAGAAGAUCUCCAGAUUUGACGCGCAGCCAGGGGCACGAGGCCACCCGCCUCGACCAUCGCCCAACGCCUCAACCACUCACCGCCCGCACGGCCAAGUGGGAAGGAGGAGCACCAGCAGACGCCGCUCGCCGCAAAGCAGGCGCCGCCGCACCAUCCGAGGCCACUGCCUCGGCUACAAAGGCCCUUCGCGUGGAGACGGAGCGGCACGGCCUCGCCGCCACCUUCCCUAGCAGCCUGCGGACUUCGCCGGCGACCCCUCUGGCGGCGGCGAGGCAGGGGGACGGGGGGAGGAGGCUUGGCGGCUAGGGUUGCGUCGCCGCCUGCGUCGCCCCGUGCGGACCGAGAAAAAUUAUUUGUAUGUAUGCGAUGAUUCGAAUUUAUUAUUUAGUCUAGCAUGGUCUUAUGUAUUUGCAUGAUUGUGCCCAGUAUUAAGGUUAGUUUCUUGAUAAAUGAAAAAAGGGCUUGUUUGGAUAUUAAGAUACAUAAUAACAUGAUGAGGCCAUGCUUGUGCAUCAUCAGUUCAUCACUAAUAAUAUUCAUUGUGGCCAUGUAUGUAUAUUAUUUUGGAAGAAUAAUAAUUGGGAAAAUAUUUGUCG